AAUCUUGCUUCCUGGCAGCCCUGGUGCCUGCACGUGUGCUGCCCCUGCCCCCUUCCCUGCUGCCCCUGCCCCCUUCCCUGCUGCCCCUGCCACCAACACUUAAUCAGCUUUCCUUGCUUAGAAGAGUGGUCCUGAGCAUGGCACGGGUGGUGGGCUCCAUCUCCAGGUACAAGCAGGACCUAACUGGGGGGGUCUCCAAGAAGAUAUUGUUCUGGGAAACCCUGGGACCUGUGGAGUGGGUCUGUACCCUGUCCCUGGUAACAAAAGGGGUGAUGGGUUCAAACUGAGAGGGAGGAGAGAACUAAGGAAGAAAUUGUUUGCAAUGAGGGGGGGAGACACUGGCCCAGGUUGCCCAGAGAGGAGGUAGAUGUUCCCAUGCCUGGAAACAUUCCAGGUCAGGUUGGACUGGGCUCUGAGCAGCCCUAUCUAGUUGCAGAUGUCCCAGCUCGCUGCAGGGGAGUGGGACUAGCUGGCCUUUAAAAGUCCCUUCCCACCCAAACCAGGCUGUGAUUCUGGGUACAGAACCAGAGAAACCAGCGCUCUGCAAGGUGAGGACUUUCCCAUGGGCAUCUUGGUCCCUUCUGGAUUUAUUUCCCAGCCAUUUGCAUGUGGCUGGCUGGGAAAUAACAUCCAGAGGAUUUCCAGCACCUGCACUCCCUGCUGGCUGAGCUCCCAACACCUUCUGUACCUCCUGCUUCUCUGAGCAGCUUUUCCCACGAGCAGCUCCGAGGCACAAAGUUCUUGGAUCAGAACUGGUCCCAACAAAGUGUCUGCUGAGAACUCCAAGAAAAGCUGGAGCAGGACAGAAGUGCAGCUGGGGAAUGUGCAGUGUAGGAUUCAGGACUCUCCAGCCAACACAGAGGAGAGUGACAAAUCUGUGGGCAAAAAAAAAAGGACAAUGUCCUUUUGCUUUUAGGAAGAAACACGUUUCAAAGUGGAAGGGAUGCCAAGUUACAAGGAACAAGGAACCUCUGGAUGGAAUGGAGCCAGGACCUUCUGUUUGACCCCCAGGAAAUGGCUGCUGGCACCUUCUUCCUGGGACUGAGCAACUUCAGAAAUAAGUUCCUGGAAGCUGUCAAGGAGAAUCAGAAGCAGCACGAAGCAGGUGAUACAUGGUGCACAGCUGGCAAAGGAGGAGACAGGAGCAGAGAGAGCAGCUGAGACAUGAGUGCAGCAGGAGCACGUCGGGGGGAGCUCUGCCCUCAGGAGCAUCACCUGGAACAUGUAGCACCUCCCUCCCUUCUUCCUCCUCUUCUCCUGAUGCCUUUUCCUAUCGCAGGCAGUGGUGGCAGCACCGAGAGGGAAAGCCUGAACUUCCCAGAUCAGCUUGGAAGGCUCCACACAAAGAGGGAUCAGCAGGCAAGGAUGGGUGCAAGUCUCCCGGGUUCCCAGCCAGGGGGAGAAGAUGUCCUGCACACCCCUGCUCCCAGCCAGGGGGAGAAGAUGUCCUGCACACCCCUGCUCCCAGCCAGGGGGAGAAGAUGUCCUGCACACCCCUGCUCCCAGCACGUCUCGUCCUAAGCUGCGGCAGCACCUCCCUUGGGGCUGAGGCUGGACAGGAGAGGCCAGGGGAGCUGCACUGCCCCUGGGGGGUGGCAGCAGGUGACAGACAGGACCAGAGUGAUGGAUGUUUUACAGGAAGCCUCCUGGGAGCAGGGGAGGGUGACAGGGUGGGUGCUGCUCACCAGGCUUUGCCACCUCUGCAUUUCCUCCUGCAGGGCUGGAAAAAAUAAA
Molecule: long non-coding RNA, 1734 nt
Organism: Apus apus (common swift)
Lineage: Eukaryota; Metazoa; Chordata; Aves; Apodiformes; Apodidae
Exons: 7
Source: RefSeq, a predicted model, not a curated record